GACGAACGCUGGCGGCAUGCCUAACACAUGCAAGUCGAACGAAACCUUCGGGUCUAUGUGCGCACGUGUGCGUGACGCGGGGUAACCUACCCGUAAGUUCGCUAUAACUCCCCGUGAGGGGUCCUCAUACAAGAGGAUCUCUUCCGGCCAAAGAGUUAUCGCCGUUGGAUGGGGCUGGGUUGGGUUCGCUGGUUGGUGGGGUAAUAGCCGACCAUGGCCACGUUCGUGAGCUGGUGAGAGAGGAUGAUCAGCCACACUGGGACUGAGACCCGGCACAGACUCGUGAGGGAGGAAGGAGUGGGGAAGAUUGGAGAACGGGCGCAAGAUUGAUCAAGCAAUGCCGCGUGAGUGAUGCAGGCGUUAGGGUUGUAAAGCUCGCUUACCCGGGAGGAUAAUGACAGUAACGGGAGAAUAAGCCCCGGCUAACUUCGUG
This 433-nucleotide ribosomal RNA is filed under the name uncultured bacterium. RNAcentral's name for it is "partial 16S ribosomal RNA". It matches the Rfam family "Bacterial small subunit ribosomal RNA", at positions 28 to 507 of the family's 1533-position model. The record is from RNAcentral.